This 253-nucleotide ribosomal RNA is filed under the name uncultured bacterium. RNAcentral's name for it is "partial 16S ribosomal RNA". It matches the Rfam family "Bacterial small subunit ribosomal RNA", at positions 524 to 776 of the family's 1533-position model. The record is from RNAcentral.
UACGGAGGGUGCAAGCGUUAAUCGGAAUUACUGGGCGUAAAGCGCGCGUAGGCGGCUGAUUAAGUCGGAUGUGAAAGCCCCGGGCUCAACCUGGGAACUGCAUACGAUACUGAUCAGCUAGAGUAUGAGAGAGGGAGGUAGAAUUCCACGUGUAGCGGUGAAAUGCGUAGAUAUGUGGAGGAAUACCGGUGGCGAAGGCGGCCUCCUGGCUUAAUACUGACGCUGAGGUGCGAAAGCGUGGGGAGCAAACAGG